CAUCUUCUUUUUCAGAAACGCGUCACAUCCGCUGCGUCUCUUGUAAUUUUAGGGAGUUCAAUCGUUCCUUCGUUUCUGUCUUUUGGAAACCUAAAUCGACGUGUUAACAGAAAAUGGCUGCUAAUCAAGAUUAUACAGAGGAUAUGGCCCAAGGAGACUUCAGCAAUGAAGGUUAUGGUGAUUUUCAAGAGCCGGAAUCGCAGCCGCAAGUGCAGGAAAAUGCUGAAUUAAAUGGUAACGAGGCAAUGGAAGAAACUACUAAUGGCGAUGGACAUGAGGAUUCCUCCUCCCAAGACCCGUUGGGGAAAGAUGAAGAUCGGAAACUCUUCGUUGGCGGUCUCAGCUGGGCUACAACAGACAAGGAAUUACGAGAGCAUUUUGGAAAAUACGGUGAAAUAGAGAGCAUAACGGUAAAAAUGGAUCCCCAGACAGGAAGAUCUAGGGGUUUUGCAUUUUUAGUUUUCAAGUCCGCCGAAAAUUUAGACAAGGUUAUGAAUGCCGGAGAACAUAUAAUUAAUGGCAAACGAGUGGAUCCAAAAAAAGCUAAAGCACGCUCUGGAAAGAUAUUUGUUGGAGGUUUACCUCAAGAUACCACUGAAGAAACUAUUCGUUCAUUUUUUGGAACCUUUGGAAAUAUUGUCGAAAUCGAAAUGCCAUUUGAUCGUGUUAAGAACCAACGGAAAAAUUUCUGCUUUAUAACAUAUGACAAUGAAAAUGUUGUGUUUGAUUUACUGAAGACACCCAAGCAAGUUAUCAAUGGUAAAGAAGUUGAUGUUAAAAAGGCAACGCCCAAACCAGAUUCCUUUGGACCACCAGCAAUGAGAGGUGGAAGAGGCGGUCCUGGUGGAAUGCGUGGUGCACCACGUGGACGAGGGGUAAGUAACAAAAAGAAAUCUUCUGUCAACAGCGAGAUUAAACUAGAAUAUAUAUGUAUGUAUAAAUAUAAUAUUUAUUUUUAGCAUGGGGCGGUUGGGGUGGUCAAGGCGGGUACGCUGCUGGAGGAUAUGGAGCUGGAUAUGCAGGAGGCUACGGAGGCGGCUAUGGUGGAGGCUACGGAUACGGCGAAGGAUAUGGAUACGACUACUACGGAGGCGGAUAUGAUUCGUACGGAGCUUAUGGCGGUCAAGGUCAACAGUACAGCGGAGGUAAACAGCGUGGCGCUGGACGCCAGGCACCGAGGCAUCAACCUUAUUAAGAAUGUUAAUCAGUCGAUCCGGUCCUGCAAUAGAAAUGCCAUGUGUGUGUGUGUGUGUGUGUUUUUUUUUUUUUUUUUUUUCUGCUCCCAUUGACAGGACACUGUACAAACAGUUUUAUUGUCUGCACCUCUUUCUCAAUUUGGUAUAAACCUGUCUCAUUUUAUUUGUCACUCGAAACCAUCGAUCAACUUGAUUACAUUCUAAAUCAUUGGAAAAUACUCGGAUUACAUUUUUGUAAAUUGUU
Molecule: unclassified non-coding RNA, 1440 nt
Filed under: Daphnia magna
Lineage: Eukaryota; Metazoa; Arthropoda; Branchiopoda; Diplostraca; Daphniidae
Description: rNA-binding protein squid, transcript variant X1
Source: RNAcentral